RNAcentral lists this long non-coding RNA (209 nucleotides) under Erythranthe guttata (spotted monkey flower). Its description in RNAcentral is "long non-coding RNA (EGUT_LNC003030)". Lineage: Eukaryota; Viridiplantae; Streptophyta; Magnoliopsida; Lamiales; Phrymaceae. The record is from RNAcentral.
UUAGAAAAAAUGGUAACACAGUCAAUCAACUAUAUCUAAUAGAUUCAGACAAAUGCUCAUGGAACUACCCAACUUAGUAUUCUAGAUAUACUCCUAGAAAUAUAAAUCAUGGAUAUAAAUGUUUACCAAAAGUUUAGAUAGUAAACAUAGUGAUCUAAAAGAUAUAAAAUUCCAAACCACCAAUCCCUUUUGCAGAUGACAUACUAUUU